RNAcentral lists this signal recognition particle RNA (146 nucleotides) under Bacillota bacterium. Its description in RNAcentral is "Firmicutes bacterium (anaerobic digester metagenome) partial signal recognition particle sRNA large type". It matches the Rfam family "Bacterial large signal recognition particle RNA", at positions 118 to 256 of the family's 256-position model. Rfam says of the family: The signal recognition particle (SRP) is a universally conserved ribonucleoprotein involved in the co-translational targeting of proteins to membranes. Archaeal SRP consists of a 7S RNA and homologues of the eukaryotic SRP19 and SRP54 proteins. In most bacteria, the SRP consists of a 4.5S RNA and the Ffh protein (a homologue of the eukaryotic SRP54 protein). Lineage: Bacteria; Bacillati; Bacillota. The record is from RNAcentral.
GUCCUGUGCAAUGUGAGCUCAUGAACCCCGUCAGAUCCGGAAGGAAGCAGCGGUAAGUGGAAGCUCUUAUGUGCCGUGAGGGUGCCUGGUUCGAGCUAACUACCUAAAUACCGUCCGGAGGAUCACUUUCGAAAAUAGGUGCACGA